This 351-nucleotide unclassified non-coding RNA is filed under the name Salvia lutescens var. intermedia. Its description in RNAcentral is "partial miscellaneous RNA". Lineage: Eukaryota; Viridiplantae; Streptophyta; Magnoliopsida; Lamiales; Lamiaceae. The record is from RNAcentral.
GGCCAGCGACGACAUCUCCUCCACCUCCCUUCACUGCUUGGCGCGAGCCUUUGCUCGGCCGACGUCGGUUUCCUAUNCUGAAUACCUAUUGCGAUGGCAUUAUGUCGGCUAUGUUGCUCCCCUUCCCACCUUGUUCCGCUGCUCCACGUGGGCGUGCGGUGCGGGGCGGGCCAAAUCGCGCGCGUCGUGUGUCGCACCGCGUUCGCCCCUUGGGGCGUUCGGGUUGUCAACCCUCGACGUGUUGCUCGGUCUCUCGGGUACGGUGCAUCAUGUGGGUACGAGGCCAUCGGCCUCCGAGCACCACAAUCAAGCGUUGUACGCUUCGUGCGAAGGACCGUCGGUUCAAUCGUC